Triticum aestivum (bread wheat) is the source of this 4001-nucleotide long non-coding RNA. RefSeq lists it as uncharacterized. The record is from RefSeq and is a predicted model, not a curated record. Lineage: Eukaryota; Viridiplantae; Streptophyta; Magnoliopsida; Poales; Poaceae. The transcript is spliced from 2 exons.
GCCCAGCCCAACUCUCCCGAGCAGAUCGUCCUCACCCCCACCAUCCUCUCCUACCUCCCACCCCAUCGCCGCCCCACCCACCUUCUCCGCGGCUCCCGCUGGCGCCUCGCCCUCCACCUUCUCCGCGGCUGCCGCUGGCGCCUAGCCCCCUACCUUAUCUUCGCCUCCCGCCGGCGCCUUGCCCUCCACCUCCUCCACGGCUCCCGCCGGUGCCUAGCCCCUUACCUUAUCUCCAGCUCCUGCCGGCGCCUGGCACCCCACUUUCUUCGCGGCUCCCGCCGGCGCCUCACCCCCACCAUCUCCCCGGCCCCCACCGGUGCCUCUCUCCCAACUUUCUCCAUAGCCCCCGCCAGCGCUCUCGUCCCCACCUACACAACAGGUCCCAUGUGAUGCUGCUCCUCCGCGCUGCCGUCCUCCCCAUUCUGAACAUCCACUGGCCGCCAGCUUGAUCUUCACCAGAGUCACCAUCCCCCUGUUCUCCACUACCAUCCAUGGCUGCGCUAUCCUGCUGACAUCCUCUGCUACCUCCACCUAGGCUGCACCACCAUUAGCUCUUCCCGCUGGCAUCCUCCUCUGCACCAAGUUGCUGCGGUUUGCAACCAGUGAAAAUGCUAUUCGACAAGUGCACUGCAGCAGGUAGCUAGAAACGAAGAUGAAGCUUCUUUGGUAUGUUACUGACCUUGUGCGCCUACUGAACUUGAGUGGCUAUUUUUGUUGAACUUGAAUGUGUUGUGGUAUUAUCGAAGUGUAGAACUUGUAUGAUGGCUGAUUCUAAACUGCUGUUGGUUGCAUUUGUGAUGUUUUUUCUUGUGCAAAAAAAACUAGUGUCUUGUUUUGCUUAUGCCGAUCCCACAGUCGCUGCUGUCUGCGCCCCACAUCCCCGUGCCACCCGUCGUCGGCUCCUGCUACGCAGAGAUCCAACGAACAUAUUUUUUGGUUAAUUUUUGGUUAGUUAAUAUUUCGGUGACGUGCUCAGUUUAGUUUCUUAAUUUACUUCAGUGCAAUUUCUUAUUUUGGUUGGGUUCAAAUUCUUAUUUCAGUUCAGUUCAGUUUAGCAAGAAGAAUAUCUUUGCUGUAACUUGUCUCGGCUUUAUUAGUGUCAUACUUUCCUACAAAGCGAAAGCAUAAUGUUGUUUCACGUCAUAAGGUUUUCUCUGAAACAUAGGGGACCUAAGAUAAUGAAGCAAUGUAAACUCUACUGUCUCAUCAAGAUCUUAUCAUGAUACUUAUUUGAACAAUUCAUCCAUUUUGUUGGGGUUUCAACCUACCGGUUCCAGUAUUCAAGUUUAUUGAGCUUCUGACUUCAAAUUCUGAACAUCUUAUGUUACUUGUGCGUACAAGGGGGAAACCGAACAUCUUGCGAGGCUCCCUGCUGGAUAUCGGCGCUAGAGGGGAGCGGACACCGUCGUUGCCCCGUGACCAUAGACUUCUCUUCUGCAAUGCAAGGUUCAUUUUCCUCUUAAAAAUUCACACGGAAAGAAUAGAGCUACUCCGUACACAUUCUGCGUCGGUGUCAGAACAUGUUAUACUAAUUAGUAAGUUCGGGAACUAUGUUCCAAACUGAGCUUAGACAAGGAGACAGGGAUGUAUUGACAGAGUGUUGUGUUGUGUGCUGUUCAUGGGGAAAAAGCAGAUGCUCGUCAUGGGUUAUGAAGUAGACAAAGUACAUAAGAUGCCUACCAUGGUCUAUGAAGUACAGGCAAAAAGGUGCCACUCGCCGUCGGCUCUCUCUUGUCAUGACGAACAGGCCAAGCAACGCGACUACGUGAGAAGGGUCAGCAUUAGCGGGAGCAGGGUAUGGAUGGGGAAGGAGCAACAGUAUCUUCACUGCUGCUGCUGAUUUGUUUCCAUCCUAGUACAAUUAGUUGACCAUCUCAGUACAACUAUUAUUGGGUGUGCCAAAACUAGAUGCUUGACUGCCUUAUUAUUAUCACUAGUGCUUUGUUUUCAGAUUGCUCCUUCAGUCCAACCUGACCCCGCGUCCCACUCAGCCAUUCGGUCUGACAUCAUCUUCGUAUUCUUCUUCUCCUCUCACUCCACAAGAUUUUUGCCAAUUUUUCAAUUCUACACUAACGCUGCUUCUAAUAGGUGUAUGUGUGAUUAUUGGUUCGUGCUUGUCUUAGUCAGCGCUAGGAGGAAAUUUUAGAAAAAAAUGUGUUAAUGGAGAUGCAUGGGAGUUGUACCUCAAGUGUUUUCUUUUGUAACUGACGACACCAAGGUGGGGGGAAAUUUUGUUCUUCGGUUAUACGGGAUUAUUCAUCGUUCAUCAGUUGCUUAGAGGAUGGUUUCCUUGGAGAAGCAUCUCUACUGAAUUAGGUGUUGAAAAUGUUUCCUUGUGAAUAUAUCAGUGGGGGCUCAGUUGCUGCUCUAAAUCGAACAAUUUGGAGGAGGAAUGCAUGAGAAACAAGUCUCCCGACGAUGACAAGGGUAUGACCGGCGACAACGAGUAGGUGGCACGUGUACCACAGCGACGAGACUGAGGUAUGAAGCAGAUGUGCGUGGUGAGCUCUCGUUUCAUAAGUUCAAGUGCUUACCCCCUAUAAAGUUCAGAGAAAAACAUUAUGUUGCUUAUUGCUCGGCCCUAUAAGGAGCGAGCGGAGGAAUCCCCACCUAAUCUACCUUGUCCCUCGACCUGAUGCUCAACACCAGCCCGCCACCGCGACCUCUCCUCCCAUAGCGUGCCGCCGGUACCUCCCCCUCCCCCAGCGCGCCGCCACGGCCCCUCCUGCCCCAGCGCGCCACCGGGGCCUCCCCCUCCCCCAGUGCGCCGUCGGGGCCUCCCCCUCCCCGCAGCGCGCCGCCGUGGCAUUUGUCCAGCACACAAACAGAGUGUGAGGUACCAAAGAACGUCAGGUAGGAGGAUUUUGGAAGAAAUGACACAGGUACACACAACCGUGAGACUUGGUGCAUUUUUACAUAGCUUUCUCUGGAAGAACUGUCUGUUUUCUUUAUUAUCUUUUACCAUGUACAUAUAAUUCGCUUUAUAAUUUGUUUUUUGUGUAAAAAUGACUUGCAUCUGGUGUACAAAUAAAUCUAUUUUCAAUUUCAGAAAGUUUGAAAAGAGUAGUCUUGGAAGUACAAGGGCAAAAGUUACUGGGUUCAACAAAAACGAAAAUGUUAGUUUCUCUUUUAUGUGAUUUUCAGUUCUUCCCCCGCGCUCUUUUGUGAUGCUCUGGCAAUAAGAUGACUAUAGUUAUAGAAAAAACAGUACAAACUUUUUAAAAAGUUUAUUUUUUGAACUUCUCCCAAUUAAUAUACUGAACUUGAUUAUCUUUUUAACAGUACUUGCAUCAGCUCGUCGGAAUUGGUGUGUGUGCUUGUAACACAAUCAGUUCAGAUAUUGAGAGACCAUAAGUUUAUUGACAAAUAUGUAUAUUAGUUCAUGUCUUAAGAGUCCAUAAUUUUGUAAGGCCAGAAAAUGCAAGGGCUUAGUACAUCUUCUCAAGUCAGCAGCUAACCAAACUGGGUAAGUUUUCAUAAAUUCAUUCUAGUGUCAAACGUUGGUGAGAUUCCGAUCAAGACUUUUGUCUAUUCCAGCAACUUUGGGGUAGCUCAGUCAAUAUAGGAGCUGUGCAGUAAACAGCUUCAGUCGAGAAAUCAGCAAGUUGUAAUGCAUAGUGUGUUCCAGGCACCUGUCCUAAUUCCUAAAAUAUUCUACUCAACUUCAGCGCCAUGCUCGGUCCAACCACAUGGCUUCAGGGUGCCGGAGUUCGUCGCCACCAUUAGUUCGGAGACUCUGCCACUGCCUGUGUCGCGACCAUGGCCACCUGCGUCACUGCGUGCUCCGUCAAUAGCCUCCCGCGCAAGGAAAAGCAACAGGAGUAGAGCCGUCUGAGAUGCUCUGUUCUAGCGAGGUGGCUUAUUAUGUUUGUCAGUUUGUAAUACUUUGGCCGCAAUGUACUUGUGUAUCUUUUUCUAAACGGAGCACGACAGAGAUUAUGUCAUUAUGAACUUUGAUUGUGAUGGUACUACAAACUCUAUAAAAACACCAGUAAUCCAUU